This is a long non-coding RNA of Vitis vinifera (wine grape), 1738 nucleotides long. RefSeq lists it as uncharacterized. NCBI's taxonomy places the organism in Eukaryota, Viridiplantae, Streptophyta, Magnoliopsida, Vitales, Vitaceae. The transcript is spliced from 3 exons. The record is from RefSeq and is a predicted model, not a curated record.
CAUGCAUUCGGCAUGACGAUGAGACUUAAAAAGAAUCCAUUUUCUUCCGGGACAUGACAUGAUGGUUUCAAGAAGAGUCUCAUGUGAGGGAGCAUUACCACAGACCAUGCAAGGAAGCUAUGCCAGUCACCUUUUUGAAUUGCCAGGCAUUCGUGAGGCCGUUUUUGGGGAAGUCUCCAGAAGAGGAAUCUUUCUGUUGAGGGAGCAUGCACACCACACCGGGAAUGGAGUAACAGCUGUAGUUCCAGAGACUUUUUGAGGCUGAAAAAAGGAGACUUCAUCACCCACAGAGAAACUCUUUCUGGCAUUCUUGGAAAGGAGACUUCAUCACAGACAUAGAGUCUUUUUGGGCAUUUUUUGGAGAAGGGUUCAUCAGCGACAUAGGGAGUCACUUUUUGGGUGUUUUAUGGAGGAGUGCAAAUUCUAAUUGAAAAAGGCAAGUUCAUAACUGCCGGAGUAGUUCACCACCGUUGAAAAUUGCUGGUUCGUCUAUGGAGUUCAUCAUUGCUGGAGUAGUUCACCACCGUUGAAGCUCGCUAGUUCGUUUAUAGAGAGUCAUCACCACCAUUAGAGUUCAUUGUCAUCGGAGAACAAUAUUCAUCACGGCCAUUGCAGUCCACCGUCAGUGAGAAAGGAUAUCGACACCCAUUUUUGGAGCUUUAGGAUCUUCAUAUUCGAGGAUGGAAUCGCCAUUUUCCUUUGGAUAUCCAUUUUUAUGAGGGAACAAGAGAUCACACAUGCAUCAUUAUUCUUUUCUGGUUUCCGCAAACAUCACAUGAGAUUUUUCUACCAUUUCAAAUCAGUGCUCACCAUUCUUCACCCUCAUCUUGUCAAGAGAUCACCAUUCUUAUUAUCCUUUUUUUCUGCAGUCUUUUUAACUUUUCUUUUUUCCGUUUGGUUGCCUAGAAAAUAAGAUUUUCUUGCCCUUCAGUUUCUAGGAAAUCACAAACUUGUAAGUACAUUCUCGCCUUUCAAAUGGGUGUUUCCAAGAUUCCUGCUCUUUUUUUUUUUUUUUUCUUUUUCUUUUCCUUCCUUUGAUUUUUCAGCAACCAAAUAGAUCAUAAAUGGAAACUGUUCCGCAACUAGGAUCGUUCACCCAGUAGGUCAUUAACGGAAACUGUUUAGUUAAGAGGAAGGAUUUUUGUCACGAUUUCCCUAGAAGCCCAAUUUCUAUUUGGUUGCCUAGAAAAAACAAGGAAAGACAGAAAUUGACUACCUGAACUUUGGAUGUUGCUUUUGCUUCGUAGGGUAUUGGAUCAUCAGAAGAUUCUGAAAAAGAAAAAGUAUAAAACCAAAUGGUGGCUGUCAAGGCUUAAGUUUCGAGGUUUAUCAUGAGAAUGAGAGCGUUAACGUUGGUUCCCGUGAUUCUGUUGGUACUAGUAGCACGAGGAAAUCUAUGCAGUUCAACAAAGGGACUGUUCCGAGCAAUUCAAGCGUGUCAAAAGUUAUUUCAAUUGCUCAUCUUCUUCAGCAUUUGUUGAUUUUGGCGGUUGUUUGGUAAGGUUUGCAAUAUGAUGCUUUUGAAGUCUUUAUUCAUUUUAUUUUCCUUCUAAUAAAUUCAUAUAAUUAUAAAUACAUUGUUACCGUAAUCUAUACUAUUUAAAAAACUAUGAAAAAAAUAUAUUUCUUUACAUUAUUGAAUUACUAACUGUAUAUCCCAAAAUUUGUCCCAAGUUUAUUUUUACAUUAAUUUUGAGUCAAAUUGUAUCAUUAAAAUUUAGAUUCAAUUACAUUUGAA